Molecule: ribosomal RNA, 2787 nt
Filed under: Escherichia coli
Lineage: Bacteria; Pseudomonadati; Pseudomonadota; Gammaproteobacteria; Enterobacterales; Enterobacteriaceae
Description: bacterial LSU rRNA
Rfam family: Bacterial large subunit ribosomal RNA
Source: RNAcentral
AGCGUACACGGUGGAUGCCCUGGCAGUCAGAGGCGAUGAAGGACGUGCUAAUCUGCGAUAAGCGUCGGUAAGGUGAUAUGAACCGUUAUAACCGGCGAUUUCCGAAUGGGGAAACCCAGUGUGUUUCGACACACUAUCAUUAACUGAAUCCAUAGGUUAAUGAGGCGAACCGGGGGAACUGAAACAUCUAAGUACCCCGAGGAAAAGAAAUCAACCGAGAUUCCCCCAGUAGCGGCGAGCGAACGGGGAGCAGCCCAGAGCCUGAAUCAGUGUGUGUGUUAGUGGAAGCGUCUGGAAAGGCGCGCGAUACAGGGUGACAGCCCCGUACACAAAAAUGCACAUGCUGUGAGCUCGAUGAGUAGGGCGGGACACGUGGUAUCCUGUCUGAAUAUGGGGGGACCAUCCUCCAAGGCUAAAUACUCCUGACUGACCGAUAGUGAACCAGUACCGUGAGGGAAAGGCGAAAAGAACCCCGGCGAGGGGAGUGAAAAAGAACCUGAAACCGUGUACGUACAAGCAGUGGGAGCACGCUUAGGCGUGUGACUGCGUACCUUUUGUAUAAUGGGUCAGCGACUUAUAUUCUGUAGCAAGGUUAACCGAAUAGGGGAGCCGAAGGGAAACCGAGUCUUAACUGGGCGUUAAGUUGCAGGGUAUAGACCCGAAACCCGGUGAUCUAGCCAUGGGCAGGUUGAAGGUUGGGUAACACUAACUGGAGGACCGAACCGACUAAUGUUGAAAAAUUAGCGGAUGACUUGUGGCUGGGGGUGAAAGGCCAAUCAAACCGGGAGAUAGCUGGUUCUCCCCGAAAGCUAUUUAGGUAGCGCCUCGUGAACUCAUCUCCGGGGGUAGAGCACUGUUUCGGCAAGGGGGUCAUCCCGACUUACCAACCCGAUGCAAACUGCGAAUACCGGAGAAUGUUAUCACGGGAGACACACGGCGGGUGCUAACGUCCGUCGUGAAGAGGGAAACAACCCAGACCGCCAGCUAAGGUCCCAAAGUCAUGGUUAAGUGGGAAACGAUGUGGGAAGGCCCAGACAGCCAGGAUGUUGGCUUAGAAGCAGCCAUCAUUUAAAGAAAGCGUAAUAGCUCACUGGUCGAGUCGGCCUGCGCGGAAGAUGUAACGGGGCUAAACCAUGCACCGAAGCUGCGGCAGCGACGCUUAUGCGUUGUUGGGUAGGGGAGCGUUCUGUAAGCCUGCGAAGGUGUGCUGUGAGGCAUGCUGGAGGUAUCAGAAGUGCGAAUGCUGACAUAAGUAACGAUAAAGCGGGUGAAAAGCCCGCUCGCCGGAAGACCAAGGGUUCCUGUCCAACGUUAAUCGGGGCAGGGUGAGUCGACCCCUAAGGCGAGGCCGAAAGGCGUAGUCGAUGGGAAACAGGUUAAUAUUCCUGUACUUGGUGUUACUGCGAAGGGGGGACGGAGAAGGCUAUGUUGGCCGGGCGACGGUUGUCCCGGUUUAAGCGUGUAGGCUGGUUUUCCAGGCAAAUCCGGAAAAUCAAGGCUGAGGCGUGAUGACGAGGCACUACGGUGCUGAAGCAACAAAUGCCCUGCUUCCAGGAAAAGCCUCUAAGCAUCAGGUAACAUCAAAUCGUACCCCAAACCGACACAGGUGGUCAGGUAGAGAAUACCAAGGCGCUUGAGAGAACUCGGGUGAAGGAACUAGGCAAAAUGGUGCCGUAACUUCGGGAGAAGGCACGCUGAUAUGUAGGUGAAGUCCCUCGCGGAUGGAGCUGAAAUCAGUCGAAGAUACCAGCUGGCUGCAACUGUUUAUUAAAAACACAGCACUGUGCAAACACGAAAGUGGACGUAUACGGUGUGACGCCUGCCCGGUGCCGGAAGGUUAAUUGAUGGGGUUAGCGCAAGCGAAGCUCUUGAUCGAAGCCCCGGUAAACGGCGGCCGUAACUAUAACGGUCCUAAGGUAGCGAAAUUCCUUGUCGGGUAAGUUCCGACCUGCACGAAUGGCGUAAUGAUGGCCAGGCUGUCUCCACCCGAGACUCAGUGAAAUUGAACUCGCUGUGAAGAUGCAGUGUACCCGCGGCAAGACGGAAAGACCCCGUGAACCUUUACUAUAGCUUGACACUGAACAUUGAGCCUUGAUGUGUAGGAUAGGUGGGAGGCUUGGAAGUGUGGACGCCAGUCUGCAUGGAGCCGACCUUGAAAUACCACCCUUUAAUGUUUGAUGUUCUAACGUGGACCCGUAAUCCGGGUUGCGGACAGUGUCUGGUGGGUAGUUUGACUGGGGCGGUCUCCUCCUAAAGAGUAACGGAGGAGCACGAAGGUUGGCUAAUCCUGGUCGGACAUCAGGAGGUUAGUGCAAUGGCAUAAGCCAGCUUGACUGCGAGCGUGACGGCGCGAGCAGGUGCGAAAGCAGGUCAUAGUGAUCCGGUGGUUCUGAAUGGAAGGGCCAUCGCUCAACGGAUAAAAGGUACUCCGGGGAUAACAGGCUGAUACCGCCCAAGAGUUCAUAUCGACGGCGGUGUUUGGCACCUCGAUGUCGGCUCAUCACAUCCUGGGGCUGAAGUAGGUCCCAAGGGUAUGGCUGUUCGCCAUUUAAAGUGGUACGCGAGCUGGGUUUAGAACGUCGUGAGACAGUUCGGUCCCUAUCUGCCGUGGGCGCUGGAGAACUGAGGGGGGCUGCUCCUAGUACGAGAGGACCGGAGUGGACGCAUCACUGGUGUUCGGGUUGUCAUGCCAAUGGCACUGCCCGGUAGCUAAAUGCGGAAGAGAUAAGUGCUGAAAGCAUCUAAGCACGAAACUUGCCCCGAGAUGAGUUCUCCCUGACUCCUUGA